AUGACGCUCUUCGGCAGCGGGGACCCGGGCUGGAGAUAUUUGGAUAUGUCCAGGGAGUCCAAGCUGAGCCGGGCCAGGCUGGGCCAGAAGCGUCAGCACAGCAGCAGCCUGUACCACAGUAACUGUGACCUGGACUAUGAUCUCUACAGGGACGACUUCCCAUACCGGGUAUACGAGUACCAGAAGAUCCCCCCACUCAUUAACCGCAUCCCAGUCAAGACCAGGCGGACUCACUCGAGAGCAGGAAGCAAGAGCAGCCUGAGUCCCCAGCCUGGGACAAGGAGCAGCACCAGCUCCACAACAGGACGGACAAAGUUGCAAGUUGAAGAGCUGCACUCCAUCAAGGGGGAGCUGAGCCAGAUCAAGGCGCAGGUGGACAGUCUGCUGGAGAGCCUGGACCGCAUGGACCAGCGGAGAGAGCGUCUCACAGGGUCCAAGGAAAGCGAGAAGAAGAGGGCAGAGCCGGGGACAGAGUCACCAUCCCCAGCUGGAGAGGGGUCACAGGAGUCACGGAGAAAGGAGGGGACAAGGGCUGAUGGGGACAGAGACCUGCACAACAUUGACAGUGCAGAGGAGAGCACAGACACAGAGGAGACGGUGAAAACCCACAUUUCGGACUCCAAGGGGAGCCAGUAGCCAGCCUGGGAUGCUGUGGCCUUCCUGUGGGGCCAGCCCUUCCCAGCUUGUGUUCUUUAUUUCUUUUGAGGCUUCCAGCUAGUGCCACACACGACACGAGGUGCCUACCCUCGGCAUGGCCAUCCCCUGCCACUGGCAGCCUCAUGUCCUAUCCUGGAAGUUGCCCGCCAGCUCUGGUGACAGUUUUUGUGUUCCAGUGCACUUGUUUUCUUUUUCCUUCUGUUUUCAGACCAAUGGAUAAGCAGAGGUGGCCUGGGGAGGGAAGGGAGAAGUAAAAAAUAGAAAGGACCAUAUCCCAGAGUAGCAUCUCAAAUCCCAGCUGGUCUGCGGCCAGCAUCGCCUCACCCACAGGAUGCUGUGGAGAGAGAAUGUAGCCCAGUGUUCCCACCCCUAUGGCACAACUGGCAUCCCAACCUUCAGACCCUGGGAACUGGUGCAGCAGGCACAGGUACAGCCCAGGAUGGCUUUCAGAGCUGCUCAGUGUCCCACCUUAGGAAGAAGGAACCAUGCUAAGCCAGCUUUAGGAGGCUUUUGUGGGAUUUUAGGAUGGUGCCAAGCCUAACUCUGAUGUGACCUGCAGGACCAGCAGUGGGGCAAUACCAACCCAAUCAUUCCCACUUGCCCCAGCUCCCAAAUGUGUUUUCCUUACUGAUUUUCCACAGGCUGUUCUCAGCCAGGCAUUGCAUCUGCAGCCAGCAGGACUCUAGUAAGAGCUUUACUAGAACCCAAAAAGUCCUGGUCCCCCUUGUGCUCCCCAGUGUCACAUUUCAGUUACAUGUCCCUCAUUUCUGUUGUCCUUCUCUCACUGGUAGGAACUUGUUCUGUAUUUCUAAUUUGCUCUGGUAAAAGAGUGUAUUGUCUUGGAAAGAAAAAUUUAUAUUUCUUUUAUCUGGUUAUUUGACUCCAAUGCAGUUUUUAACCAUCUGAAGUGAACAGUUUUGUACCCCAUUUUAUGCACUGCCAGACACAGCCCUCAGCUCUGAGGGCUUUCUUGGAUGCUGCCUUUCCUACAGCUCAACCCACAGGCACGAGUGCAGCUCUGCUCUGUAUCCCAAUGGAAAAUACCCCAACUUCCCUACCAGCCCACCAUGAUGCAACUUGGCAGACAAGACCACCUGCUGCACUCCAUCCCCAGGAAUAACCAGAUUCCAAGGAAGCACCCAGCUCCCCCUGAACUCCUCAGGGACAGUGGGAGCAGAGAGGGUCACCCCAACUGUAGAAGCACAUCCUUCCACCUCUGCCCAUGGCAGAGGGCCAUGCAAGCAGAAGACUCACCAGAAAAAAUAUUAUUUAUUAUUACAAAAAAAAUUAACAAAACACAACUCUGCCACCCUGAAGCACUGCCUGGGCAAUAAGUCCAAUGGAUGCUAGUCCAUGCCAUGAUGUGGUUCCUGCCUGGUUCUGCCUAGAUGCUGCCUGCACAGAUGGAUACAGUGGGGAGCUUGGAGUGAGGGUUUCAGCCUGGUGCUGUGACCACCCCGGGGUGAGAUGUGGGGUCCUGGAGUGCCAGCAACUGCAUGGAGGGAGGUGUUGGGCAGGCUCUGGCUGCUGAGGCAGUAUGGAGGUCUUGGGGGGGCUUCAGCAGCGUGCAAGGCUGUUUGGGUCCCAUGGUGCCAGUCGAGAAUGGCCUCCCGCGACACGAUGGCUCCUUAGGUGCACUCUGGGGUGCUUGGGCAGUGCAGACUCCUGUGUCCUUCAGCACAGUUCUUGGGUCUCCAGCUACGUGGGCAGCACAAGGGGGUCUCCAGCAGUGCAAAGGUAGGCUCAUCCAGUCUCCAGCAGCAUGAGGCAUUGAUCAGGCUAGGUCUGGGCAUUCACCAGCAGUUACAAUUAAACUUAAGCUUCAACUUAAUAAACUUCUAAGAUUCUAAAAUAAACUUAUUUUA
RNAcentral lists this long non-coding RNA (2522 nucleotides) under Cyanistes caeruleus (blue tit). Its description in RNAcentral is "lncRNA (ENSCCEG00000008741.1)". The record is from RNAcentral. Lineage: Eukaryota; Metazoa; Chordata; Aves; Passeriformes; Paridae.